GCCGGCGUCGCCUAAUUGGUAGGGCAGCAGUCUCGAAAACUGCCGUCCGAAAGGACUUGCAGGUUCAAAUCCUGUCGCCGGCG
This 83-nucleotide transfer RNA is filed under the name Candidatus Woesearchaeota archaeon. Its description in RNAcentral is "tRNA-Ser". It matches the Rfam family "tRNA". From Rfam's summary of the family: Transfer RNA (tRNA) molecules are approximately 80 nucleotides in length. Their secondary structure includes four short double-helical elements and three loops (D, anti-codon, and T loops). Lineage: Archaea; Nanobdellati; Candidatus Woesearchaeota. The record is from RNAcentral.